UUACCCUCACUCCCUGCCGGGGCCAGCCCGCGGGCACUAAGUGAUGCCUGGAGAGCAGCACAGCGGCCCCCCGCCCCUCAUCGCCCCCCAGAGCCCGGGGAUCCCGCCCCGUGCUGGGCGCUGGACCAGCCUCUCGAGCGGGAAAUCUACAACCUUGAGAGACCUGGAGUUGCAUGUGGAGUCAAGUACAUAAUGAGUAAGUAAGUAAAAGAACUUUGAGUGAGGUUGGAAAGGAGAAAGGACACACCAGGCAACCUUAAUAUAAACAUCACUAUAUAUUCUAGACACCUCAAACAGGAGGGAAUUUAGAGAACAAAAAUAGUUUACAAUGGAUUGUAAUUGGGGAGAAAUUAACAGUUCAUCUUGAAUAUCAGGUAAGAAGUCUUCCUGGAGGUGAGACUUAGCCUGCACAGGUGUAUCCCAAAAGAACUGGAAACCCUAUUGCUCAAGAUAUUUAAAACUAGAUUGGACUGUAGAGAAUAAAUUCUACAUUGCUCAA
Long non-coding RNA from Trachemys scripta elegans, 499 nucleotides. RefSeq lists it as uncharacterized. The transcript has 2 exons. NCBI's taxonomy places the organism in Eukaryota, Metazoa, Chordata, Testudines, Emydidae. The record is from RefSeq and is a predicted model, not a curated record.